AUUGAACGCUGGCGGCAGGCCUAACACAUGCAAGUCGAACGGCAGCACAGAAGAGCUUGCUCUUCGGGUGGCGAGUGGCGGACGGGUGAGUAAUGUCUGGGAAACUGCCCGAUGGAGGGGGAUAACUACUGGAAACGGUAGCUAAUACCGCAUAACGUCGCGAGCCCAAAGUGGGGGACCUUCUGGCCUCACACCAUCGGAUGUGCCCAGAUGGGAUUAGCUAGUAGGUGGGGUAACGGCUCACCUAGGCGACGAUCCCUAGCUGGUCUGAGAGGAUGACCAGCCACACUGGAACUGAGACACGGUCCAGACUCCUACGGGAGGCAGCAGUGGGGAAUAUUGCACAAUGGGCGCAAGCCUGAUGCAGCCAUGCCGCGUGUAUGAAGAAGGCCUUCGGGUUGUAAAGUACUUUCGGCGGGGAGGAAGGCGAUGUGGUUAAUAACCGCGUCGAUUGACGUUACCCGCAGAAGAAGCACCGGCUAACUCCGUG
RNAcentral lists this ribosomal RNA (490 nucleotides) under uncultured bacterium. RNAcentral's name for it is "partial 16S ribosomal RNA". It matches the Rfam family "Bacterial small subunit ribosomal RNA", at positions 30 to 507 of the family's 1533-position model. The record is from RNAcentral.